This 85-nucleotide transfer RNA is filed under the name Acidobacteriota bacterium. Its description in RNAcentral is "Acidobacteria bacterium (groundwater metagenome) tRNA-Leu". It matches the Rfam family "tRNA". From Rfam's summary of the family: Transfer RNA (tRNA) molecules are approximately 80 nucleotides in length. Their secondary structure includes four short double-helical elements and three loops (D, anti-codon, and T loops). RNAcentral also lists the same sequence under 3 other names. The record is from RNAcentral. Lineage: Bacteria; Pseudomonadati; Acidobacteriota.
GCCCAAGUGGCGGAAUUGGUAGACGCGCACGUUUGAGGGGCGUGUGGGGCAACCCGUGCCGGUUCGAGUCCGGCCUUGGGCACCA